CGUAGAGCUUUAAUUUCAUUUUCUAGGGUUUGUUUGGCUGUCUCCAGGGCGUGUCGGGGAAGAUCGAGCCAACAACGAGAUCCGCAAUUUUCACUCGGUGAUGGAAUGCUUACGUUUUGCUAGGCAGAAGGCUCUGGAAGCGACGGAUCUUUCACUUAAUUCAUCUUGCGUUGCAGCGAACUAGUUCCAAGUGAAUUGAUAUUUGCAACCGCAAUGGGGAAUUUUCUGAUGCUCGAGUCUUCGCCUGCCUUCAUUUCAUUUCCUUUACAUUCCUUCAAUCCGAAUACAGCCUAAGAUCGCCGCCCAUUGUUUUAUAGUCCACCGGAAAGCCCUAAUAAAAGAUGUUGAUUCUUUCAUGGGCUUUGGAUGGAGAUAGAAUUCAUGUGGAGAGGAUGAUGGAGUGCGGUUGUGAGGAAGUGAGGAGAAGUUGAAGAAUGUUCUAGAAGUGGAAGCUUAAUCUCUAGUUUCACACAUGGUGAAGAAAACUAAUCCCGAGCAAAUCAUUCUCUGAUGUCUUCUAUUAUUCUGAAUCUGAUAUGGUAUUACGGAUUACUCGUGUCUAAUUUUAUUCUCCCCAAAUAAUUUUUACAUAUAGCAUCUUAGCAAAUUGUUCUUUUUGGUUCAACUGGAGAGGAGAGGUGGGAAAACUCUUCAUUGGAUAAGAUGGAAGCAGCGGGAAGAAAUUGAAGAAGGCUCUGGAAAUGCCAGCGUAAAGUCUAAAUCCACAUGUAAUGAAGGAAACUAGUUUCAAACUAUUGAUGCUCUAAGCUUAUACCACCUAAUUAGGGAUUAAUCUUGCUUUUUCAGUUCCUCCCUACUACUGCAUUUGUUCUAUUUCUCGCUUCCCCUCUUUUCCUAUCUACAUAUUCGAAAAACCUAAUAGACUAUUUGUUCACACUGAGGGCCUGUUUGGAUGCAGGAUUUUGGCCAAAUUUAGGCAAGAUUUGAGCAAAAUCCUUCCAAAUGCCAAAAAUACAAAGUUAAAAUCUCACGGUAAGUCUAAUCUCUACUUCAUGGUGUUUUCGCCAUUUAUGCCCUAAAUCCCGGAUUUCAUAAAUCCGACUUUUUUGCCGGAUUUCAUGAAUUUACAAAUUCGAUAAAGAAGCGUGUGAAGGGGAGAAAUAUUGUUACCUUCGCGGCGAGCUCCCGACGAGAUUUCCAAUCCGACCGAAACAACAUAUAUUAGGAGGCAGAGAAGCUUCGACUCUUUCAAAACCCUACUUCAUGCGAAGCAGAACAACAAUGAAUAAAUUCUGAAGAGGAAAAACAAACCCUAAAUAGGAAAUGACAAGCCACUCGUUCGAAGCUCUAACCCACGGAUCCAGUGAUAUUCCAGGGUUUAAGAUUUGUAAGAGGGAGAAAUUCUUAAAUCCAUUGGAAUCUUAUGAAUGGUGGGGGAGAUGUUGUAUUUAACCUAUAAUGAGAUUGAAAUGGAUUAAUCAAAACGUGAGGAAAAGCCAAUUGAUAUUCUCUGGAAGCAAUAACUUGAUCUUUGGUUACUUACUUAAUGAAGAAAACUAAUCAUAAGUGAAUCAUGCUCUGAGUGCAUACUGACAGUGCUGCCAUUUUUUAUAGUUUUCAAUAUGAUAUGGAAUCUUGGAUUUCUUCGGUUGCUUUGGCCUAAAGCUAUACUUCCCAACUAAUUUUUUUGUUUAAUAUCGGUUCUCUUAUCUUACCUAAGUGCCCAGUACCCAUUUUGACUCAACUCGAGGGGGAGUUGGCGAAUUCAUAUGAAGAGGAUGAUGGAUGUAAUGUUGUAAGGAGUAUUUCAAUUUAAGCUGAAGAGGGAAGAUCUGGUGGUCAUAGGUUGAUCUUGAGUUCCUCCUGUGAUGAUGGAAACUAAUGGCAAGCAAAUCAUGCUUACAGUGAGGUGUUCCUUACUUUUCAAUUUAAUAUGAAAUCAGUGAUUACAUUGGCUAAUCUAUUUGUUUGAUCAAUUCUCCGUCAAUAAAUCUAUAUUUAAUGAUUGUCUUUUUUAUCAUAAGAGUUUCACUUUUUUCUUUGCAAGCGAUGGGUUGGAGGGAGAAUUCAAGUGGAGUGGAUGAUGGGUGGUAGGCAUGAAAUAUUAAAAUUUUGGGGGUUAGAUAUGUAAAUAGUAUGAUAUAAAAUUGUAUGUAUGUAAAUCCCCCUUAAUAAAAUUUAUUAAUUUAUAUUUAAAGUAAGUUCUGCUUGUUUGGCUAGCAAAAAGCGCUUUGAUUUCAUUUCCUAGGGUUCGUUUGGAUGAUAUUUCUCUAGCGGGCUUUGAGAAGCCUGAGUCUGCAACAUGAGCCACAAUUUUCACUCGGUGAUGAAAGAGAAAGUUUAGCAAGGUAGAAUGCUUUGGAGUCGGAAAGAUUAAUCUGUGCAGAGUCCGGACGUAGAGUUACGCUGUGUACAAAAGUACACAGUGUACAUUUGUACACAGUAUAUACACUGUGUACACUCACAGUCCGACGUAACUUUAUGUCUGAACUCCGUACGUAAUAAUUCCUCCUGGAAUUGGUGCAUCUUUCCCCUACAUCUUGCUUUGCAGCAAACAAAUCCCAAGCGAAUUGAUGUUUGCAACCACAAUGGGGGAUUUUCUGCUGUUCAAGCUUACCCCUUCAUUUAAUUUCCUUCACAUUCCUUCACAUUCCUUCAAUCCAAAGAAAGCCUGAGAUUGCAGCACACUUUUUUAUAGUUUACAAGAACGCCUUAAUAAAGGGAAAUCAUUCUUUCGUGGAUUUUGGCAAAAUUGUAUCUUUGGUUUUUCGUUCUCUUGUUUACUCUUACUUUCCCAAAGGAAAGUGCUUUGCUGCUGGACUCAUCUUUCUACAAUAUGGAUACUUCUUUAGGGCUGUUUUUCGCUCACCGUAGUAUUACUAUUUCCUGAAAGCUAUACGGUUAACUGUACUUCACUCUAGAUAUGCUUGGAUUAUCUUAUAUAAUCUUGAGGGCCUGAAUUUUUCUCUCUUUCUGGUUCUGUUCUAUCUUACUUAGGAAAGACUAAAGCUAUACUCUCCAAAUAAAUCUGUAGUUAUAAACGUUGAGUGCCUGAGCUUGCCAAAUUGUCUUUUUGCAUCGCCUAGAGUUGGGUACAGAGGUGGAUUUUGGUAUGGAGAGGAUGAUGGAAGCAAUGUUAUUAGAAGGAAGUGAGGAAAAAGUAAAGGAGAGGCAAUCACUUAGUUUUCAAUAUGAUGUGGAAUCUAGGAUUACUUCCGCUGUUUGAAAACAAUAUUGCCUAAUAAUUUAUGUUUAAAGAUUUGUUUUCUCUUGUAUCUCAUCAAAUUAUCCUUUUUGGCUCAGCUUGGGGGUAGAGUGAGAAUUCAUAUGAAGAGGAUAAUGAGAGUCAGGUUGUAAGUAGUGUGUGAGUGAAUUCGUGUGGAGGGGAUGAUGGAGUGAGAUUGUGAUUGUGAGGAAGUGAGAAGUUGAAGGAGGCACUGGAAGUGGUAGCUUGAUUGCUGGUUUCACAUGUGAUGAUGAAAACUAAUCCCAAGCAAAUCGUGCUCUGAGAUCAUGCCUGCAAUGAUGACUUAUAUAGUUUUCAAUCUGAUAUGGAAUCAGCGAUGACUCCACUCCUUUUGGUGUCUCCCGAAACUCAUUUACAUCUAAGAUCAUACCAAAUUAUUAUUUUUGGUUCAAUUGGAGAGGGGUGGUUAAAUAACUCAUAUUGGAGAAGAUGAUGGAAGCGACUAUGUAAGGUUGCAGAGGGGAGAAGCUGAACAAGGCUCUGGAAAGCUUAAUUUCUGAUUACCCGUGUAAUGAAGAACACUAGUUGGAGCCUAAAGACGCUCUAAGCUUAUACCACGGAAACCUUCUUUAUAUUUUUCCAUCUAAUAUGGAAUUAGGGAUUCAUCUUUGCUGUUUGAGCAUCUCCCUGUCACUCGCUCUACUUUGCUUCUACUUUUCCCUUAUCUUCAUAUGUGAAAAAUCUAGUGGACUUUUUGUUGACUCUUAAGAUUCAUGUGCCUGGAUAAAAAUUAAAAUUCAGUAGUGGUAAGUUUGUUUUUUAAAAGUUUCUAAUUAUAAACUCAAUUCAUCAUGUCAGGUUGGAAGUAGUUUCAUUAUGAAUUUCAAACUAUUAUUUUCUUGAUGUUAAUUUUAAUAUGUUUGAUUGUGCUUUCAUUUACCGCAUUUUGUGUGGAAUUGAAUAUCUCAUAUUUGACAUAUUUUUAAAGCUAUAAAUUAUUGUUGAUUUUAAAUUAAAUCUAGCCAAAGUUUGAGAGCUUGCAAUUUUCAUCAACAACAACAUCAAGCUUUAUCUUACUACCUGGGGUCAUAAUUUUUCUCCAACAACAACAUCAAGCAAUUUUAAUCAUAUUGUGAAAUAUAUUUUUGGUUUACGGACAAAUAAAUGAGUUUUUUUUUUUUCAAAAUACCGAUUUAUCAGAUUUCAAUAUCAUUGAUGCUUAAGUUAUAUGUUAUAACUUUGCAUGUGAAGGGGAAAAUUGUUUGAGAAUUUUGGUUAUAAUAUUUUUGUUUGGUUACAAGUAGGGCUUAACUCAAGUAGGAUUUAAUUAAUCAUGCAAAUCCAGAGUAUGUAAAUCUUUAGAGGAUAAAAUCUUGGAAAUUGCUUGGCAUGCUGAUUGUUAGUUCUUUGUUAAAACUUGAUACACUUUUUCAAAGAAUUGAUGUUUUAAAUCUUGGAUUACUUCUGUUGCUUGGGCCUAAAGCUAUAUUUCCAAAGAAUUGAUGUUUUAAUUUUUGUUCUAUUAUCUUACCAAAUUGCCCAUUUCUGCUCUCUUCUUGAGGGGAAGAUGGUGAAUUUAUAUGGAAAGGAUGAUGGAAGUAAGGUUGUAAGAAGUAGGUAAGGUUAAGCCGAAGAGGAAGGAUCUGAAAGUCACAGGUAGGUCUUGAAUUCCUCAUGUGAUAAUGAAAACUAAUAGCAAGCAAAUCAUGCUCUGAGAUUAUGCUUACAGUUAUUUGUUCCUUAGAGCAUUCAAUAUAAUAUGGAAUUGGUGAUUGCAUUGGCUACUUGCUUUGUUUGAUCAAUACUCUUUCAAUAAAUAUACAUUUAAGGAUUAUGAUUUUUUUCAUACCAGAUCCACAUUUUCCUUUGCGAGAGGCAGACAGGGUGGAGGGAGAAUUCAUGUGGAGAGGAUGAUCGAGUGCGGCUGUGAUGAAGUGAUGCAUAGUUGAAGAAGGUGGUGGAUUCUUUCCCCAAGGAGUUCUUGGAGUUGUGCUUGGCCAUGAUCACCGGAUCGUCGAUGAGGAGUUGUCGACCCUCUUGUCCGGUGUCACUCCUGUUCCUCUUGCCUAAUGCUAUCUCAUGUUUUAUCAAAUUGCUCAUAUAUAUAUAUU
Dendrobium catenatum is the source of this 5259-nucleotide long non-coding RNA. RefSeq lists it as uncharacterized. The record is from RefSeq and is a predicted model, not a curated record. Lineage: Eukaryota; Viridiplantae; Streptophyta; Magnoliopsida; Asparagales; Orchidaceae. The transcript is spliced from 3 exons.